RNAcentral lists this long non-coding RNA (586 nucleotides) under Phoenix dactylifera (date palm). Its description in RNAcentral is "long non-coding RNA (PDAC_LNC002869)". The record is from RNAcentral. Lineage: Eukaryota; Viridiplantae; Streptophyta; Magnoliopsida; Arecales; Arecaceae.
UUUCCUGCCAGCCAUACAAAUUAAUGUGUGUCAUUUUUGUAAAAAAUAACCAUAGGCAAAAAACAGAGCAUAGCAAAAACAAACACUUCCUUGAGUCAACCCAUGAAGAUCAUAAAUCAACCCCUAAAGAAGUUGAAUCGAUCCUAGAAUGGUCGUAGAUGGAAUACAGAUAGCAAUAAAAACCAGCCCUUUCACGAGUUGAACCUACUGGAUCAUGAGUCGAUCCCAAGCGAACUAGAGUCAACGCCAAAAAUAGAUGGCUCGACCCCACAAAAAUAAGCACUUUUUUGGGUCGACCCCUAAAGAAGAAUAAUCAACCUCCGGAAAUCACGAGUCAACCCUUGAAAAAGUGGAGUUAACCCCAGAAUGACCGCAGACAAAAUACAGAUAGUGAUGAAAACCAACCAUUUUAUAAGUCGCCCCUAGUGGAUCUUUAAUCAACCCCAAGCAAACUUGAGUCGCCACCAAAGAUAAACGAGUCGUCCCCAUAUUGACCAUGGCGGAAGGCAGGGCACAACAAAAACAAGUACUUUCUUGAAUCGAUUCAUGAAGAAGAAUAGUCAACUCUUAAAGAUUACGAAUCGAC